UUUCGAAAAAGGCAAACCUGUCGAAAGACGGGGACGCAAAGCCACGGGUCUAAAGCAGGAGCACUGCAACGGCAGCCGGGUUACCGAA
RNAcentral lists this non-coding RNA (88 nucleotides) under Peptococcaceae bacterium. RNAcentral describes it as "c-di-GMP sequence". It matches the Rfam family "c-di-GMP-I riboswitch aptamer". Rfam says of the family: GEMM was predicted in a large-scale screen for bacterial structured RNA regulatory elements. Genes associated with GEMM are involved in a diverse array of functions, including chemotaxis regulation, signal transduction, secretion and chitin. The record is from RNAcentral. Lineage: Bacteria; Bacillati; Bacillota; Clostridia; Eubacteriales; Peptococcaceae.